GGCUCUGCUGGACCCCACUCGGAGAGCCUCUGCAGAGCCGUCAUGGAGGAGAACUGUGAGACUGUGACCUCGCUGGGGUUUCCAGUUUCCCAACCCUCUGUGAUCUUCCAGCUGGAAGGAGGGGAAGAGUCAGGGUCCUGGAUCUCCUGGUUCAGUGGAAAGCGAGAUCCUGGGAAGUCCCUGCACAGCAGGUGAUGGGGUGGUGAGGGAGAGCGAGGAGCAGAAUCCUCAC
Molecule: long non-coding RNA, 232 nt
Organism: Mauremys reevesii (Reeves's turtle)
Lineage: Eukaryota; Metazoa; Chordata; Testudines; Geoemydidae
Exons: 3
Source: RefSeq, a predicted model, not a curated record